Molecule: ribosomal RNA, 42 nt
Filed under: Arctohyalopoa lanatiflora
Lineage: Eukaryota; Viridiplantae; Streptophyta; Magnoliopsida; Poales; Poaceae
Description: Hyalopoa lanatiflora partial 26S ribosomal RNA
Source: RNAcentral
GCGACCCCAGURAGGCGGGACUACCCGCUUAAUUUAAGCAUA